GGUGGCUCAAUGGUAGAGCGCUUGCCUUGCAUGCAUGAGGUCCUGGGUUCGAUUCCUCAGCACCA
This is a non-coding RNA of Dipodomys ordii (Ord's kangaroo rat), 65 nucleotides long. The record is from Rfam. Lineage: Eukaryota; Metazoa; Chordata; Mammalia; Rodentia; Heteromyidae.